RNAcentral lists this ribosomal RNA (429 nucleotides) under bacterium. RNAcentral describes it as "partial 16S ribosomal RNA". It matches the Rfam family "Bacterial small subunit ribosomal RNA", at positions 355 to 776 of the family's 1533-position model. The record is from RNAcentral.
UAGGGAAUCUUCCACAAUGGACGCAAGUCUGAUGGAGCAACGCCGCGUGAGUGAAGAAGGUUUUCGGAUCGUAAAGCUCUGUUGUUGGUGAAGAAGGAUAGAGGCAGUAACUGGUCUUUAUUUGACGGUAAUCAACCAGAAAGUCACGGCUAACUACGUGCCGGCAGCCGCGGUAAUACGUAGGUGGCAAGCGUUGUCCGGAUUUAUUGGGCGUAAAGCGAGCGCAGGCGGAAUGAUAAGUCUGAUGUGAAAGCCCACGGCUCAACCGUGGAACUGCAUCGGAAACUGUCAUUCUUGAGUGCAGAAGAGGAGAGUGGAAUUCCAUGUGUAGCGGUGGAAUGCGUAGAUAUAUGGAAGAACACCAGUGGCGAAGGCGGCUCUCUGGUCUGCAACUGACGCUGAGGCUCGAAAGCAUGGGUAGCGAACAGG